This is a long non-coding RNA of Rhipicephalus sanguineus (brown dog tick), 873 nucleotides long. RefSeq lists it as uncharacterized. The transcript has 9 exons. The record is from RefSeq and is a predicted model, not a curated record. Lineage: Eukaryota; Metazoa; Arthropoda; Arachnida; Ixodida; Ixodidae.
GCCUAUGUACCGACAGGAAAAAGGGGACGAAGGAAUAGACAGAAUAGAAACAAUACCCUCAAACAUGAAGCUGCGAACCCACAGGACAAGUCAGAUACCUUUCUUGUGGAAGUUCACGUGAUUUCGGACAUGAAACAUCAACAUAGCUUCAAGAAAAAUGAAGAACUAAUUGCUUACAUGGCAAUCAUGACAAACGCUGUCAACUUAAGAUUUGUCGACAUGACAAGACCGAGGGUCAGUUUCAUCCUCGUCGGAAUAACAAGGAGCAGAGAUGAUGCUUUCGCGACAAUACACCAAGGCAAGUUGGAUGCGCCAGCGACGUUGGGCGGGCUCGAAAAAUACAUCGAGAAUGGAAAAGUUCCUGGAAGCAAUGACAUCGUGUUUCUUGUAACUGGGUUGGACAUGUUCAACAAACCGGACGGAAAAAUUAACACGGGUUUGGCCGGUCUUGCAUUCCGUGGCACUGUUUGCGGAAAGCUGAGGAUUGGCGAGGGUGAAGACACGGCUACUUCCUACGAAGGAAUUACAAGAUGGCCCAUGAGCUGUGUCACGUGAUGGGGUCGCCACACGAUGAAACCCCUGAGUGUCCUUGGGAAGAAGGAUACUUGAUGAGUUAUGUGGACGGAGGACUAAAAAAGUAUCGCGUUUCCCCUUGCAGCGAAAGAUCCAUGCGAGAUGUCUACAAGAAACUUAAGCCGGAGUGCAUAGAGGUGAAGACGAAGACGAACUACAUGGAAAAAUUCAAGAAAUAUCCAGGCCAAACAGUGCGAGCGUUGCAUUACUGCAAGAAGACGUUGAAGAAAAGUGGAAGAUGGUUUAUUAAGAACGAUUACAGCCUCAACAGGCAAUGCAAAAUGGCGUGCUGCAUAAAAA